CCCCUCACGAACACCGGGAGUUUUAAAAGCUAGCACCCUGCCUGCUCUAUUUCCUUUUCCCUCGCUGUUUCUACUAACUAUGAAAGUGUGAAAAGUCCAGAGAGCAACAUGAGGAAUUGUGUGGCUUAGUGUGUUUCACUCAUAAACUUCUUCUCAGAGAAUAACUCAACCCUCCAUGUCUGACAGUUAGCUGUUAGCUCCGCCAGCCAAACAGGUGAACUGUUAGCGAGCAGCAGCUAGCUCCGUGCAGGUAGCUGGAAAGCUACCGUGAUGAAGACGAUGUCUUUUUUUCCUGAGUUGUUCUUCAGACUGACAGCUGCUGGAUAAAAACAUCAUUGCUGUGGCCAACUGGGAGAAUCAGCAGACCAGUCGACCGUUCCAGAGGGAGUGAGUGAAAUUGUUUUGUUUCUAUAUUUGCUAUAGUAUAAAAACUAAGUAUUGUACUGGAUAAUGUUGUAUUUUGGUACAGGUCUAUACUAGUAAUUCAGCCUUGGUACGUGGGGUGCCAGCUCUACCAGGUGAGCUAUGCUGAACAGGACACUGAACCCCAAGUUGUGCCCAUGGCUACCCACUGCUCUCAUUGAAUGCAGAGGACACAAUUUGUUUCCAUGUAUAUAAAUGCUGUGAAAUGAAAGUAAAGGCUGAAAGGCA
Molecule: long non-coding RNA, 651 nt
Organism: Dicentrarchus labrax (European seabass)
Lineage: Eukaryota; Metazoa; Chordata; Actinopteri; Moronidae
Exons: 2
Source: RefSeq, a predicted model, not a curated record